GCCGGCGUAGCUCAGUUGGUAGAGCAGGAGACUCUUAAUCUCUUGGUCGUGGGUUCGAGUCCCUCCGCCGGUACCA
RNAcentral lists this transfer RNA (76 nucleotides) under Opitutia bacterium. RNAcentral describes it as "tRNA-Lys". It matches the Rfam family "tRNA". Rfam says of the family: Transfer RNA (tRNA) molecules are approximately 80 nucleotides in length. Their secondary structure includes four short double-helical elements and three loops (D, anti-codon, and T loops). Lineage: Bacteria; Pseudomonadati; Verrucomicrobiota; Opitutia. The record is from RNAcentral.